RNAcentral lists this ribosomal RNA (426 nucleotides) under uncultured bacterium. RNAcentral describes it as "partial 16S ribosomal RNA". It matches the Rfam family "Bacterial small subunit ribosomal RNA", at positions 354 to 796 of the family's 1533-position model. The record is from RNAcentral.
GUGAGGAAUUUUCCGCAAUGGGCGAAAGCCUGACGGAGCAAUGCCGCGUGAAGGAUGAAGGCCUAUGGGUUGUAAACUUCUUUUCUCAGAAAAGAAUUAUGACGGUAUCUGAGGAAUAAGCAUCGGCUAACUCUGUGCCAGCAGCCGCGGUAAGACAGAGGAUGCAAGCGUUAUCCGGAAUGAUUGGGCGUAAAGCGUCUGUAGGUUGUUUAAAAAGUAUUCUGUCAAAGAUUAGGGCUUAACCCUAGAUAGGCAGAAUAAACUUUUAAGCUAGAGUUUGGUAGAGGCAGAGGGAAUUCCCGGUGGAGCGGUGAAAUGCGUAGAUAUCGGGAGGAACACCAAAGGCGAAGGCACUCUGCUGGGCCAAUACUAACACUGAGGGACGAAAGCGAGGGGAGCAAAUGGGAUUAGAAACCCGUGUAGUCC